RNAcentral lists this long non-coding RNA (2475 nucleotides) under Fragaria vesca (wild strawberry). RNAcentral's name for it is "long non-coding RNA (FVES_LNC000034)". The record is from RNAcentral. Lineage: Eukaryota; Viridiplantae; Streptophyta; Magnoliopsida; Rosales; Rosaceae.
ACGCCCGACCUCAACUAUGUAAUCCUGCAAACUAGGCAUUUUUAAAACGAAGAGCCCAGGGGAAAACAUUUGAAACACGUUAGAGUGAGUGGACAAAAAUAAAUUUACGAAUAAAAUAUUUAUGUUUCCCCAAAUCAAUUUCCAAGGAAAAUCAAAUGCAUGCUGCAAGCGAUAAAACUUUUAACUCAUAAAUAUCGAGCCUCUCAGGCUCUAUAAUAUAUGUAUGUAUUUACACACGUACAUACUCCCUAUAUAAAUUCAUGGGUCUAUGUAGGGCUACUACGCUCGCGUCCAACGCUCACGUCACGCCUUAAUGCGGUGCUACACUACGCCAUUAAGGAGGACAGACGAGUGUAUAAAUAUGUGUCCAUACCCCCUAUAUGAAUUAAACACUCAUAUAGGGCUACUACGCUCGCGUCCAACGCUCACGUCACACCAUAAUGCGGCUAUAUGCUACGCCAUUAAGCUGGACAGACACAUAUGGCUAGCUAGCUUUUAUAUACAUACUCUCCUCAAUAUACAUAUUUAUACUCACCGAAAAAUCCCAUUUUUCGGUAAUUCUCCAAGAGAAUAAAAUCGUUAAAAUUAAAAUGACGUCAAAAUGCUCCACAACAUUAAUUGUUCAUUCAUGAACCAUAGCAUGCAUAUUAUUUAAAACAAAAGUCCACUCACAACUCUAGGCAUAAGCCCGACGAAAUCCAAAUCGCCACUCCAGUGAGGUUUCCUCGAACCCUGGCACAAAUAUAUAAUUAAAUUCCCAACUAAAAAAAUCCAAUAUUUAAACAAAAUAGGCAAAAUUAACCGAGACCCAUACUCGCUCAUCAUUGCCUAACUUCGAUUCGGUUUACACCUCAACAAUAAAACCAGCAGCCUAAACUACACCCUUCCAUAGAUUAUACGACUUUAAUCCAACGGCCGGAUUCUACCUUAUUAAUCCGCCAAAAUUACCAAACUUCGGAAAAUCACAAACCUAUCCAAAACUCAUCCAAAAAUUCCAUAAUUCAUACCAAUAAACUCCCCUUAAUAUAACACACUUAAAACCAUGAAAAACCCCUUAACAGUGGCGGCGCCGCCGGCUGCUCUGCCAGCAGCGGCGGUCGGAGGCCGACUCCAGCGACCUCCAAUGCCUACCAAAUUUCAACAGCAGCUUCCUCUCAACCCCCUCUACAACUUUCCUAACUAGCACAAACACCAAAUCUAAGUCUAACUAGGUCAAUCGAACAAAAACACCUAAAGAGCCCUAGGAUUUCAACUUCGAAUUUCUCCUUACCUAGCUCAAGAGGGAGUGAGCCCUUUGGAGGGGUUGCUGCACGGGAGGAGGGCUACAAAACGAGCCAAGGAUCGCCGGCUUUGGUGGCCGGAGGAGGGAGUUGCUGCGACGGAGGGCUUAACGCAGUCGGACCUCUCGGGCCUGAUAUCUUCCUCACGACGGCGCUAGGGGGGCUGUCACCGGUCCAGGGAGAUGGCUGGGUUGAUGGCCGACCGAACGAGACCGGUGCGGCAGUCUCAGGCGGCCGGACGGAGAAGCUCGGGGGAAGAGGGAGAGAGAAGAGAAAGAGGAGGAAAAAGAGAAGGAAGAAAAAAAUUGGGCCUCUCCUCUAACCCGGUCCAACACUUUAAACAAAACCCCAACUCCAAAAAAAAAAUAACACCCCAAAAUAAUACCCAAAUAAAAAUUACCUUUUACUAGCUAAAAUUUACCAUUUUUACUGUCGUCAAAUUUUUCUCCUACGAAUAAUUCUCCGAAAAUAACCGUCCCCCAAACCCCUCUAGGGACCAAUUAACCUAUUACCUCAAUGACGAAGACGGUAAAAUUCUUAUUAUAAACAAGCUAGUAAAUAAGGUAAAAAUUUAAGGGUCGGGAUGUGACAGACUCGGCGAGGAGACGAACAACGGCGAGCAGACUGCAUAGGUGUUUUGACCGUGGAAGUGAAAACGAAGAUGAGCGCUGGGUUUUUUAGGGUUUAGGGGGGCGCUGUGGAGGUUGUCGAGCGCUGGGUUUAAUUAUAUACCUUAUAACUUUAGCCGACGAAAUUUUUACUUCGUUCGUCGGCUAACCUUUGAAAUUCGUCGGCUAACAUUUGAAAUUCAUCGACUAAUCUUUAAAAUUCGUCGGCUAACCUUUGAAAUUCGUCGGCUAAACCUGUGAAUCUCGUUUAGCUAAAGUAAUGAAAUUCGUCAGCUAUAGUACUUUUUAUUUAAUAUUUUCAAUUUAUUUGUUUUAUUUAUUUUAUUAGCUAUAGACGACGAAUUUUCAAUAAUGUCGUCGGCUAUAGUACUUUUUAUACAUUCGGCACAUUGUGAUUGUGAUGAUCAAACUUGAGAAACGAAAAUCCGACCGUCAGAUCUGACCAUCAUGAUAAAAUACAUGUAUUGGAAAAAAUUCAACUUGAUCCGACAAGGUUAAAGGCUCGAUCCGAAUGGUCAAUCCCGUAAGUCAUACCUCUAAACGCACGGAAAAGGUCAUUGGACCAU